GACGAACGCUGGCGGCGUGCUUAACACAUGCAAGUCGAACGGCAAGACCCUGCUUUUUUGGUGUGCUCGAGUGGCGAACGGGUGCGUAACACGUGUGUAACCUGCCCUUCACUUUCGGAUAACUUCAGGAAACUGGGGCUACUACCGGAUAGCAGCUCCUGCUGCAUGGUGGGCGUUGGAAAGUUUCGGCGGUUGGGGAUGGACUCGCGGCUUAUCAGCUUGUUGGUGGGGUAGUUGCUUACCAAGGGUUUGACGGGUAGCCGGCCUGGGAGGGUGACCGGGGACAAGGGGACUGAGAGACGGCCCAGACUGGAACGGGGGGCAGCAGGGGGGAAUAUUGCACAAUGAGAGGAAGCCGGAGGAAGAAACGCCGCGUGCGGGAAGACGGCCUGCGGGUAGUAAACCGCUGUCGCCUGAGACGAAGCGUGAGUGACGGUAAUGGGUAAAGAAGCACCGGCUAACUACGUG
This 468-nucleotide ribosomal RNA is filed under the name uncultured bacterium. Its description in RNAcentral is "partial 16S ribosomal RNA". It matches the Rfam family "Bacterial small subunit ribosomal RNA", at positions 28 to 507 of the family's 1533-position model. The record is from RNAcentral.